Molecule: ribosomal RNA, 371 nt
Filed under: uncultured Pandoraea sp.
Lineage: Bacteria; Pseudomonadati; Pseudomonadota; Betaproteobacteria; Burkholderiales; Burkholderiaceae
Description: bacterial SSU rRNA
Rfam family: Bacterial small subunit ribosomal RNA
Source: RNAcentral
AUUGAACGCUGGCGGCAUGCCUUACACAUGCAAGUCGAACGGCAGCACGGGUGCUUGCACCUGGUGGCGAGUGGCGAACGGGUGAGUAAUACAUCGGAAUGUACCUUGUAGCGGGGGAUAGCUCGGCGAAAGCCGGAUUAAUACCGCAUACGCUCUGAGGAGGAAAGCGGGGGGCCUUCGGGCCUCGUGCUACAAGAGCAGCCGAUGUCAGAUUAGCUUGUUGGUGAGGUAAAAGCUCACCAAGGCGACGAUCUGUAGCUGGUCUGAGAGGACGACCAGCCACACUGGGACUGAGACACGGCCCAGACUCCUACGGGAGGCAGCAGUGGGGAACUUUGGACAAUGGGCGAAAGCCUGAUCCAGCAAUGCCG